RNAcentral lists this ribosomal RNA (484 nucleotides) under uncultured bacterium. RNAcentral describes it as "partial 16S ribosomal RNA". It matches the Rfam family "Bacterial small subunit ribosomal RNA", at positions 28 to 523 of the family's 1533-position model. The record is from RNAcentral.
GACGAACGCUGGCGGCGUGCUUAACACAUGCAAGUCGAACGAUGAAGCCGGAGCUUGCUCUGGUGAAUUAGUGGCGAACGGGUGAGUAACACGUGAGUAACCUGCCCUUGACUCUGGGAUAACUGCUAGAAAUGGUAGCUAAUACCGGAUACGACCCUCGGAGGCAUCUCCAGGGGGUGGAAAGAAUUUCGGUCAAGGAUGGACUCGCGGCCUAUCAGCUAGUUAGUGAGGUAAUGGCUCACCAAGGCGACGACGGGUAGCCGGCCUGAGAGGGUGACCGGCCACACUGGGACUGAGACACGGCCCAGACUCCUACGGGAGGCAGCAGUCGGGAAUAUUGCACAAUGGGCGCAAGCCUGAUGCAGCAACGCCGCGUGAGGGAUGACGGCCUUCGGGUUGUAAACCUCUUUUAGUAGGGAAGAAGCGAAAGUGACGGUACCUGCAGAAAAAGCACCGGCUAACUACGUGCCAGCCGCCGCGGUAA